UUAUGCACACAGUUUUAUAUUUAUUUAUUUGUAUGUUUAUUACUGUGCCAGCUGGCACCCUGUCCAGCAUUAGUUUCUCCUCUUAAUACUGCUAGGAUAAAUGGUUUUUCUCUGUCUUUCAGCUCAAUGAAGAAUUUCAGAGGAUCACAACUCUACGUUUAGAACCAUCAUUUAUGCUGAUGUUGGACCAAUAUACUCCAAAAUUAUUAUUCAUGUUUCAUAGCAAGGGAGGAGCACUUGGACAAAGAUUACAGAUCCAAAUGGCAAAACUUCAUCAGAUUUCAAACAAUUCUCCCAUUGAGAGGAAGCGAGAAGUGGUUUUAUGUUGUUUGGUUGAUUAUCUGGGUGAGAAAGUAGAUGACCUCAUUAAAUACUACCAAGAUGCUGAAAGAACCAGUAUAUUGCAGGACCUCACCCAGCAUGUGAUGAAAAUAUAUGUGAUCAAAGAGGG
Molecule: long non-coding RNA, 451 nt
Organism: Erpetoichthys calabaricus (reedfish)
Lineage: Eukaryota; Metazoa; Chordata; Cladistia; Polypteriformes; Polypteridae
Exons: 3
Source: RefSeq, a predicted model, not a curated record